AUCCUCUGCUGUGGUCUAUGGCUUUUUAUUCCUAUGUGAUUACUUUUUAUAAUUCAUGUAGGGCUAAAAGCCAUGGGUUACACAAAGGAAU
This is a non-coding RNA of Ophiophagus hannah (king cobra), 91 nucleotides long. NCBI's taxonomy places the organism in Eukaryota, Metazoa, Chordata, Lepidosauria, Squamata, Elapidae. The record is from Rfam.